UACGUAGGGUGCGAGCGUUACUCGGAAUUACUGGGCGUAAAGUGUGCGCAGGCGGUUGAGCAAGUCGAGUGUGAAAGCCCCGGGCUUAACUUGGGAAUUGCGCUCGAAACUACUUGACUGGAGUGUGGCAGAGGAAGGUGGAAUUCCACGUGUAGCGGUGAAAUGCGUAGAGAUGUGGAGGAACACCAAUGGCGAAGGCAGCCUUCUGGGCCAACACUGACGCUCAUGCACGAAAGCGUGGGGAGCAAACAGG
RNAcentral lists this ribosomal RNA (253 nucleotides) under uncultured bacterium. RNAcentral's name for it is "partial 16S ribosomal RNA". It matches the Rfam family "Bacterial small subunit ribosomal RNA", at positions 524 to 776 of the family's 1533-position model. The record is from RNAcentral.